UGGCGAACGGGUGAGUAACACGUGAGCAAUCUGCCCCUGACUCUGGGAUAAGCGCUGGAAACGGCGUCUAAUACUGGAUAUGAACCGUGGAGGCAUCUUCAACGGUUGGAAAGAUUUUUUGGUCAGGGAUGAGCUCGCGGCCUAUCAGCUUGUUGGUGAGGUAAUGGCUCACCAAGGCGUCGACGGGUAGCCGGCCUGAGAGGGUGACCGGCCACACUGGGACUGAGACACGGCCCAGACUCCUACGGGAGGCAGCAGUGGGGAAUAUUGCACAAUGGGCGCAAGCCUGAUGCAGCAACGCCGCGUGAGGGAUGACGGCCUUCGGGUUGUAAACCUCUUUUAGCAGGGAAGAAGCGAAAGUGACGGUACCUGCAGAAAAAGCGCCGGCUAACUACGUGCCAGCAGCCGCGGUAAUACGUAGGGCGCAAGCGUUAUCCGGAAUUAUUGGGCGUAAAGAGCUCGUAGGCGGUUUGUCGCGUCUGCUGUGAAAUCCCGAGGCUCAACCUCGGGUCUGCAGUGGGUACGGGCAGACUAGAGUGCGGUAGGGGAGAUUGGAAUUCCUGGUGUAGCGGUGGAAUGCGCAGAUAUCAGGAGGAACACCGAUGGCGAAGGCAGAUCUCUGGGCCGUAACUGACGCUGAGGAGCGAAAGGGUGGGGAGCAAACAGGCUUAGAUACCCUGGUAGUCCACCCCGUAAACGUUGGGAACUAGUUGUGGGGUCCAUUCCACGGAUUCCGUGACGCAGCUAACGCAUUAAGUUCCCCGCCUGGGGAGUACGGCCGCAAGGCUAAAACUCAAAGGAAUUGACGGGGACCCGCACAAGCGGCGGAGCAUGCGGAUUAAUUCGAUGCAACGCGAAGAACCUUACCAAGGCUUGACAUAUACGAGAACGCUGCAGAAAUGUAGAACUCUUUGGACACUCGUAAACAGGUGGUGCAUGGUUGUCGUCAGCUCGUGUCGUGAGAUGUUGGGUUAAGUCCCGCAACGAGCGCAACCCUCGUUCUAUGUUGCCAGCACGUAAUGGUGGGAACUCAUGGGAUACUGCCGGGGUCAACUCGGAGGAAGGUGGGGAUGACGUCAAAUCAUCAUGCCCCUUAUGUCUUGGGCUUCACGCAUGCUACAAUGGCCGGUACAAAGGGCUGCAAUACCGUAAGGUGGAGCGAAUCCCAAAAAGCCGGUCCCAGUUCGGAUUGAGGUCUGCAACUCGACCUCAUGAAGUCGGAGUCGCUAGUAAUCGCAGAUCAGCAACGCUGCGGUGAAUACGUUCCCGGGUCUUGUACACACCGCCCGUCAAGUCAUGAAAGUCGGUAACACCUGAAGCCGGUGGCCCAACCCUUG
Molecule: ribosomal RNA, 1337 nt
Filed under: Microbacterium sp. 3188BRRJ
Lineage: Bacteria; Bacillati; Actinomycetota; Actinomycetes; Micrococcales; Microbacteriaceae
Description: bacterial SSU rRNA
Rfam family: Bacterial small subunit ribosomal RNA
Source: RNAcentral